RNAcentral lists this non-coding RNA (136 nucleotides) under Paenibacillus peoriae KCTC 3763. RNAcentral's name for it is "EGFOA RNA". It matches the Rfam family "EGFOA RNA". The record is from Rfam by way of RNAcentral. Lineage: Bacteria; Bacillati; Bacillota; Bacilli; Caryophanales; Paenibacillaceae.
CACCCUCCAGAUUGGCGUUGUGACUCCAACGACCAAUGUCCCGUCCGUGUGACCGUGUAAAAGCGGUCAGGCUGCCAGGGGGAGUUAGUACGACUAUGCGCGAUAAAGCACGACCUGGACGCGCUCCACUCCCUGA